UACGUAGGUGGCAAGCGUUGUCCGGAUUUAUUGGGUUUAAAGGGUGCGUAGGCGGCUGAUUAAGUCAGUGGUGAAAGCCGAUCGCUUAACGAUCGAACUGCCAUUGAUACUGAAUAGCUUGAGUACAGAUGAGGUAGGCGGAAUGUGACAAGUAGCGGUGAAAUGCAUAGAUAUGUCACAGAACACCAAUUGCGAAGGCAGCUUACUAAGGUAUGAUUGACGCUGAGGCACGAAAGCGUGGGGAUCAAACAGG
RNAcentral lists this ribosomal RNA (253 nucleotides) under uncultured prokaryote. RNAcentral's name for it is "partial 16S ribosomal RNA". It matches the Rfam family "Bacterial small subunit ribosomal RNA", at positions 524 to 776 of the family's 1533-position model. The record is from RNAcentral.